RNAcentral lists this ribosomal RNA (253 nucleotides) under uncultured bacterium. RNAcentral describes it as "partial 16S ribosomal RNA". It matches the Rfam family "Bacterial small subunit ribosomal RNA", at positions 524 to 776 of the family's 1533-position model. The record is from RNAcentral.
UACAGAGGUCUCAAGCGUUGUUCGGAUUCAUUGGGCGUAAAGGGUGCGUAGGCGGCGCGGUAAGUCGGGUGUGAAAUCUCGGGGCCUAACUCCGAAACUGCAUUCGAUACUGCCGUGCUUGAGGACUGGAGAGGAGACUGGAAUUUACGGUGUAGCGGUGAAAUGCGUAGAUAUCGUAAGGAAGACCAGUGGCGAAGGCGGGUCUCUGGACAGUUCCUGACGCUGAAGCACGAAGGCCAGGGGAGCAAACGGG